UGACUGUGCUGUCCUGAUUGUUGCUGC
This 27-nucleotide non-coding RNA is filed under the name Macaca fascicularis (crab-eating macaque). The record is from RNAcentral. Lineage: Eukaryota; Metazoa; Chordata; Mammalia; Primates; Cercopithecidae. RNAcentral also lists the same sequence under 2 other names.